RNAcentral lists this ribosomal RNA (693 nucleotides) under Priestia sp. Its description in RNAcentral is "bacterial SSU rRNA". It matches the Rfam family "Bacterial small subunit ribosomal RNA", at positions 155 to 834 of the family's 1533-position model. The record is from RNAcentral. Lineage: Bacteria; Bacillati; Bacillota; Bacilli; Caryophanales; Bacillaceae.
AACCGGAGCUAAUACCGAAUAACACUUUCGCUCGCAUGAGCGGAUGUUAAAAGACGGUUUCGGCUGUCACUUACAGAUGGACCCGCGGCGCAUUAGCUAGUUGGUGAGGUAACGGCUCACCAAGGCGACGAUGCGUAGCCGACCUGAGAGGGUGAUCGGCCACACUGGGACUGAGACACGGCCCAGACUCCUACGGGAGGCAGCAGUAGGGAAUCUUCCGCAAUGGACGAAAGUCUGACGGAGCAACGCCGCGUGAGUGAUGAAGGUUUUCGGAUCGUAAAACUCUGUUGUUAGGGAAGAACAAGUAUGAGAGUAACUGCUCGUACCUUGACGGUACCUAACCAGAAAGCCACGGCUAACUACGUGCCAGCAGCCGCGGUAAUACGUAGGUGGCAAGCGUUGUCCGGAAUUAUUGGGCGUAAAGCGCGCGCAGGCGGUUCCUUAAGUCUGAUGUGAAAGCCCACGGCUCAACCGUGGAGGGUCAUUGGAAACUGGGGAACUUGAGUGCAGAAGAGGAAAGCGGAAUUCCACGUGUAGCGGUGAAAUGCGUAGAGAUGUGGAGGAACACCAGUGGCGAAGGCGGCUUUCUGGUCUGUAACUGACGCUGAGNNNNGAAAGCGUGGGNNNNNNACAGGAUUAGAUACCCUGGUAGUCCACGCCGUAAACGAUGAGUGAUAAGUGUUAGAGGGUUUC